Meleagris gallopavo (turkey) is the source of this 1200-nucleotide non-coding RNA. The record is from RefSeq and is a predicted model, not a curated record. NCBI's taxonomy places the organism in Eukaryota, Metazoa, Chordata, Aves, Galliformes, Phasianidae.
CAGAGAUCUAAGAUUUAAUAGGAUUAAAGAAAUCCAGCCUGGAGAAUUUAGACGGCUUAAAAACUUGAAUACAUUGCUUCUAAACAACAAUCAAAUUAAAAGAAUACCUAGUGGGGCAUUUGAAGACCUCGAAAAUCUGAAAUAUCUCUAUUUGUACAAGAAUGAAAUCCAGUCAAUUGACAGGCAAGCAUUUAAAGGACUUGCCUCUCUAGAACAACUGUAAGUGCCUUUUCUCUUCUGUGCUGUCAUCUCCAUGAUUCCCCUGCAGAGGAAAAGUGCACACCCUGAUCCGUACAUCCUGCCUGCAUGCUCUGCAUGUCUGCUGUCGAAUGGUUGUUAGUCAGAGCCCCGUAAUCAUCUGCAUGUGGAAAAACAAAAUUGAUCUCUGUGUCAAAUUCCUCAUUUCCAUGUUUGUCUUUUUUUUUUUUUUUUAAAUCUUCUCAUUUGCUAUUCCCCAUGUUGCUAGAUGAUGUGAAAGAGCUUUGAUGAAGAGGCAGUGUAACGGUGGAAAAUGUUGAAAACUAAUGUGCAUUGCUUAGAGAGAGAUUUUUUUUAAUUUCAUUUCUAUAAAUUUUAUGAUAUUGUGAUUACUUUGCAGCAGUUACUUUGUUUUAUGCCAGUGUAACUAAAGCUGAGCCAGUAUCUUGAAGUUUAACUUGGUAUUGCUAUAUUUUAAAACAAAAUUAGAUUUUAAAAUUAAGAUUUUAAUUUUAUUUAUACGUGCUAAUGAUUGCUGUGUACAGACUUAAAAAUAAGGACGUUCACUGCUUGUAAUCUAGAUGUUCUUUGUCUUAUAGAAAGGUUGGUUAAAAUGUUACUCCUUUUCCUGUAUAGUGACUGAAGAUGAAUCUCUUAAAAUGAAAAUGCAGUCAGUAGCAUGACAAAAAUUAACUGUAUUGGUUCUGUUAAAUUUAAGUAUGUAGUUUGCUUGUUUUCAUGAACAGAAAGCAUUAUUAUGCAUUCAGUAUAGCAGUGUUUAGAAAAACAGCCAUAAAAUGCAUAGCUCUUUAACAAUCUGACUACCAAAUAACAAUACAAAACCGAUGAAUCUUGUAGCAUGUGAAUUGUGAGGGCUGAAAAACUCUAUUCUACUAAGAUAUAUACAAUUUCCUUCAUAGUAUAAAUACACGUGAACAUUAGUGGACAAGGUGUGUAUGUGAAAUAAAAUGGCAUUCAGAAUGUGUACGUUAUUCAAGCUCA